This 1850-nucleotide unclassified non-coding RNA is filed under the name Leishmania donovani. Its description in RNAcentral is "gene:unknown". Lineage: Eukaryota; Euglenozoa; Kinetoplastea; Trypanosomatida; Trypanosomatidae. The record is from RNAcentral.
AUCUCCCCCCCACACACACACACACAUAUGCACACCCUCUCCCACAAAUUCCGUCUCCACAGUCCUCACGCACUCUCUGCGCUCGGGCGUUCUGUCCGUAUAUGUGUGUAGCUAGGCUGGCUUUCCUUUUUCGGUUUUAUGAGCUUGCGCAUGGUCCUCCUUUCGUGCUCUCGUUGUAAUUGUGCAUUGCCGUUGUCGCAUCAAGGCGACGGCUCGUGGGCGUGUAUGUGAGGCCGUUGCUUGACUCGCCGCCCUUCUCCCUGUCUCUUUUUUGUUUCCGGUGGCGUCUGUCAGCGCGACGGCUCCUAUUGGCAGGCCCUCUUCCCCCACGGCGCACUUCUCUGCGGUGGGGGCUUACGUAAGCGCCGCGAACGCAUGCUGUUGUGAAGGGAGGCUCCCACCGGGUCUUUGAGCAGGGUAGGCCUUCUGGCCACCUACAUGACUGCUGUAUAGUGUUUCGUUUUCCAUACACGGGUACACGUUGUGCGACUCGCUUCCUCUCGUUAUUCUUUCAAGGCGGUAUGGGUGCUCUUCCGCCUCUUCCCUGGCUGUGGCUGCAUUCAUGCAACGCAGCUCUCCCUCACUCCAUCUCCUCCGCUCUUUUCCGCCCCUUUCCUGGUCACGAGAUCACGCGGCAUGUGCUCCAUUGGGCAAAGCGAAUCUGCACGGGAGUCGACGGAGCAGAGGUCGCCGGUGCAACGCGGCUCCGUCACACAAACAAGCUCCACGUAGGAAUGCCAUCGCAUCAGGGAAACAGCGGCAGAGAGAGAUAGAGUCCGCGUCGAUGCUGGCAGGUCUUGUAUCCCUAUCGGAAGCACCUGUACACUCUUCACCACUAUUUCUCUUUAUGAAAAAAGAGGUAGGCGCAUCCAACUCUGUGGCACAUGAUACGCUCUACUAACCUCCUACUAACGCGGAAUAGGACACCUGCUGGGUCAGGAGAAAGACCCACGCUACGGCUGCUGCCUCUUCCAUGCUUUGCGUUACUUGCCGUUGCUAAGCUGCAUUCGUCUGUGCUGCUUCAGUCGCGUCUGGCGCUUCCACAUUCGCCAAGGCAAAUAGAAAGUCGCUUUUCUUGCCCCGUGUCCUCUUCCCCACCCCCGCGCUCUUUUAUGUGUGCGCGCAUGCGUGUCUGCUUGUUAUUAUAUCCGUAGCGAGAGAUCUGGUCCUCCUCGCACAUGGGCCUCUCUCUUCCUCUCCUUCGCCUCGGGGCUGCGCAAGCCCUUCUCCUCUUCCCCGGGUGCUGCGGCGCCCUCUGCAAUGAUUCGGGGAUCUCCGUCUUGCCGUCGUUCUCGCUGUCGCUUCUUUGUUCUUCACCGGCUUUGGCUCUCCGCUGCUGCCUGAAGGCUUUCUCUCCUCUUCAGAGGUCAGCGCACCACCGAGAAGUACGAUGCGGAGCUAAGCAAGGCGGCGGAGUCGUGCCGCCCUCUGUGCUCCACCCUGAACGCAUGUGGCACAGAGUGGCGCGAGCACAUGCACACCCCAAAACAAUGUGCCCAGUACUGCGGAGCUGCGCCACUGCUGCGGCCUUCUCGCAAAGUGGCUUAGGGAGCGCAGCUUCCGUCUGUGUGCGCGUCAGACCUCCAUAACUGCCCCCCCCUUCUUGCACAUUCUCUCGCCUCUUCCGCCGCCACCGCGCACGCCCUCGCGUGGGUCUCUGUGCGCGUGUCAGGGAGGGGCGCUGUCUUCAAUGGUCGACCCUAUGCUCCGUUUGUCCUGAUUUCAUGCGUACCGCCCAGUUUUUCUUCCCCUCCCUCCCCCCCCCGUGUCGAAUCGGUGCUACUGUUCGUCCCGUCGCUCUUCCUUUCCGGCCUUCUUCAUUGCUUUACGUUUCUCAUCUUCCCGCGUAG